CGGACGGGUGAGUAACGCGUGGGUAACCUGCCAUAUACAGGGGGAUAACACUUAGAAAUAGGUGCUAAUACCGCAUAAGCGCACGGGAGCGCAUGCUCCUGUGUGAAAAACUCCGGUGGUAUGGGAUGGACCCGCGUCUGAUUAGCCAGUUGGCAGGGUAACGGCCUACCAAAGCGACGAUCAGUAGCCGGCCUGAGAGGGUGGACGGCCACAUUGGGACUGAGACACGGCCCAAACUCCUACGGGAGGCAGCAG
Molecule: ribosomal RNA, 255 nt
Filed under: uncultured bacterium
Lineage: Bacteria
Description: partial 16S ribosomal RNA
Rfam family: Bacterial small subunit ribosomal RNA
Source: RNAcentral